RNAcentral lists this ribosomal RNA (1244 nucleotides) under metagenome. Its description in RNAcentral is "bacterial LSU rRNA". It matches the Rfam family "Bacterial large subunit ribosomal RNA", at positions 1564 to 2818 of the family's 2925-position model. The record is from RNAcentral.
UGAGUACGAGAUGCUACGGCAUCGAAGCAGUCUAUGUCAUACUUCCAAGAAAAGCUUGCACUGUCAGAAACAGAUAAUGCCUGUACCAUAACCGACACAGGUGGGUAGGUAGAGUAUACUAAGGGGCGCGAGAUAACUCUCUCUAAGGAACUCGGCAAAAUGACUCCGUAACUUCGGGAGAAGGAGUGCCUUAUUUUUAAGGUUGCAAUAACAAGAUCCAAGCAACUGUUUACCAAAAACACAGGUCUCCGCUAAGUCGUAAGACGAUGUAUGGGGGCUGACGCCUGCCCAGUGCCAGAAGGUUAAAGAAGUCGGUUAGCAUUCGCGAAGCUGGUAACUGAAGCCCUGGUGAACGGCGGCCGUAACGAUAACGGUCCUAAGGUAGCGAAAUUCCUUGUCGGGUAAGUUCCGACCCGCACGAAAGGCGUAAUGAUUUGGAUACUGUCUCGGAGAGGGGCUCGGUGAAAUAGACUUGUCUGUGAAGAUGCGGACUACCUGCACCUGGACAGAAAGACCCUAUGAAGCUUUACUGUAACUUGAAAUUGAAAUUGGACUUUAUUUGCGCAGUAUAGGUGGGAGGCGUUGAAAAUAUUCUUGCGGGAAUAUUGGAGCCAUCAGUGAGAUACCACUCUUGUAAUGUUAGAUUUCUAACUUUACAUCAUUAUCUGGUUAAAGAACAGUUUCAGGCGGGCAGUUUGACUGGGGCGGUCGCCUCCCAAAUGGUAACGGAGGCGCACAAAGGUUUCCUCUGAACGGGUAGAAAUCGUAUCUAGAGUGUAAAGGCAUAAGGAAGCUUGACUGUGAGACCUACAAGUCGAGCAGGGACGAAAGUCGGCCUUAGUGAUCUGACGGUGCUGAGUGGAAAGGCCGUCACUCAACGGAUAAAAGUUACUCUAGGAUAACAGGCUGAUCUCCCCCAAGAGUUCACAUCGACGGGGAGGUUUGGCACCUCGAUGUCGGCUCAUCGCAUCCUGGGGCGGUAGUACGUCCCAAGGGUUGGGCUGUUCGCCCAUGAAAGCGGUACGCGAGCUGGGUUCAGAACGUCGUGAGACAGUUCGGUCCAUAUCCGGUGUAGGCGUUAGAAUAUUGAGAGGAGCCUUCUUUAGUACGAGAGGACCGAGAAGGACAUACCUCUGGUGUACCAGUUAUCGUGCCAACGGUAAACGCUGGGUAGCUAUGUAUGGAGUGGAUAACCGCUGAAAGCAUCUAAGUGGGAAGCCCACCUCAAGAUAAGUAUUCUCAUC